CCUACGGGCGGCAGCAGUGGGGAAUAUUGGGCAAUGGAGGCAACUCUGACCCAGCAAUGCCGCGUGAAUGAAGAAGGUCUUCGGAUUGUAAAGUUCUUUAGUCAGGGACGAAGUCAAUUACGGUACCUGAAGAAUAAGCUCCGGCUAACCACGUGCCAGCAGCAGCGGUAAUACGUAGGGAGCAAGCGUUGUUCGGAAUGAUUGGGCGUAAAGGGUGCGUAGGCGGUUGUACAAGUUAGAAGUGAAAUACCCAGGGCUUAACUCGGGUGCUGCUUCUAAAAUGGUAUGACUUGAGUGCAGUAGAGGUUAGUGGAAUUCCUAGUGUAGCGGUGGAAUGCGUAGAUAUUAGGAGGAACACCAGAGGCGAAGGCGGCUAACUGGACUGCAACUGACGCUGAGGCGCGAAAGUGUGGGUAGCAAACAGGAUUAGAUACCCUUGUAGUC
This 444-nucleotide ribosomal RNA is filed under the name uncultured bacterium. Its description in RNAcentral is "partial 16S ribosomal RNA". It matches the Rfam family "Bacterial small subunit ribosomal RNA", at positions 338 to 795 of the family's 1533-position model. The record is from RNAcentral.